Molecule: ribosomal RNA, 587 nt
Filed under: uncultured bacterium
Lineage: Bacteria
Description: bacterial SSU rRNA
Rfam family: Bacterial small subunit ribosomal RNA
Source: RNAcentral
CCUACGGGAGGCAGCAGUGGGGAAUAUUGGACAAUGGGCGAAAGCCUGAUCCAGCAAUGCCGCGUGAGUGAUGAAGGCCUUCGGGUCGUAAAGCUCUUUUACCAGGGAUGAUAAUGACAGUACCUGGAGAAUAAGCUCCGGCUAACUCCGUGCCAGCAGCCGCGGUAAUACGGAGGGAGCUAGCGUUGUUCGGAAUUACUGGGCGUAAAGAGUACGUAGGCGGUUAUUCAAGUCAGAGGUGAAAGCCCGGGGCUCAACCCCGGAACUGCCUUUGAAACUAGAUAACUAGAGUCUUGGAGAGGUUAGUGGAAUUCCGAGUGUAGAGGUGAAAUUCGUAGAUAUUCGGAAGAACACCAGUGGCGAAGGCGACUAACUGGACAAGUACUGACGCUGAGGUACGAAAGCGUGGGGAGCAAACAGGAUUAGAUACCCUGGUAGUCCACGCCGUAAACGAUGAUAACUAGUUGUUCGGUCACUUGGUGACUGAGUGACGCAGCUAACGCAUUAAGUUAUCCGCCUGGGGAUACGGUCGCAAGAUUAAAACUUAAAGAUAGUAGACGUNAGAGUGCGACGAGCACAGGAGGUAG